GCUAACAUAUCUGAGCAAUUGUUCAGGAUUGCAGAAUGCAAAACUUGAGGUAAUUAGCAGAUUUCUAAUCCUUUGCUGAUGAAUUGCAGUUGGAGGGUUCCUUCAUAAAGGAUGACGUCCCCUAUUAUUUUUGGGCCUUCUUUCCGAAAGGAGACCUCACAGGUACAUACUGUCUUAAGUUUCUGUCAUCUCCUUCUUGAACUUCGAUGUGCAAUGCUGUCUUCCUUGCUGAAAGUUCUGCUGAUAGGAACAUCAUUAAUUAUAAUCAUUGGUUCAUAACCAAUAUUUGAGUCUGUUGCUAACAAUCUUACGGAAAAAAAAAUGUGCUCCGC
RNAcentral lists this long non-coding RNA (332 nucleotides) under Panicum hallii. RNAcentral's name for it is "long non-coding RNA (PHAL_LNC000551)". The record is from RNAcentral. Lineage: Eukaryota; Viridiplantae; Streptophyta; Magnoliopsida; Poales; Poaceae.